UACGAAGGGGGCUAGCGUUGUUCGGAGUUACUGGGCGUAAAGGGCGCGUAGGCGGCGCAUCAAGUCAGGCGUGAAAAGCCCUGGGCUCAACCCGGGAAUUGCGCUUGAGACUGGUGUGCUUGAGUACGGGAGAGGAUAGUGGAAUUCCCAGUGUAGAGGUGAAAUUCGUAGAUAUUGGGAAGAACACCAGUGGCGAAGGCGGCUAUCUGGACCGUAACUGACGCUGAGGCGGCGAAAAGCGUGGGGAGCAAACAGGG
This 257-nucleotide ribosomal RNA is filed under the name uncultured bacterium. Its description in RNAcentral is "partial 16S ribosomal RNA". It matches the Rfam family "Bacterial small subunit ribosomal RNA", at positions 524 to 777 of the family's 1533-position model. The record is from RNAcentral.